AGUAGCGAUGGAUUGAGAGCUUGCUCAAGUUAGCGGCGGACGGGUGAGUAACACGUGGGUAACCUGCCCAUAAGACUGGGAUAACUCCGGGAAACCGGGGCUAAUACCGGAUAACAUUUUGAACUGCAUGGUUCGAAAUUGAAAGGCGGCUUCGGCUGUCACUUAUGGAUGGACCCGCGUCGCAUUAGCUAGUUGGUGAGGUAACGGCUCACCAAGGCAACGAUGCGUAGCCGACCUGAGAGGGUGAUCGGCCACACUGGGACUGAGACACGGCCCAGACUCCUACGGGAGGCAGCAGUAGGGAAUCUUCCGCAAUGGACGAAAGUCUGACGGAGCAACGCCGCGUGAGUGAUGAAGGCUUUCGGGUCGUAAAACUCUGUUGUUAGGGAAGAACAAGUGCUAGUUGAAUAAGCUGGCACCUUGACGGUACCUAACCAGAAAGCCACGGCUAACUACGUGCCAGCAGCCGCGGUAAUACGUAGGUGGCAAGCGUUAUCCGGAAUUAUUGGGCGUAAAGCGCGCGCUGGUUUCUUAAGUCUGAUGUGAAAGCCCACGGCUCAACCGUGGAGGGUCAUUGGAAACUGGGAGACUUGAGUG
RNAcentral lists this ribosomal RNA (597 nucleotides) under Bacillus sp. EB17(2012). RNAcentral's name for it is "bacterial SSU rRNA". It matches the Rfam family "Bacterial small subunit ribosomal RNA", at positions 60 to 648 of the family's 1533-position model. The record is from RNAcentral. Lineage: Bacteria; Bacillati; Bacillota; Bacilli; Caryophanales; Bacillaceae.